GAUGAACGCUGGCGGCGUGCUUAACACAUGCAAGUCGAACGAGGUAUAAGGACGGAAGUUUUCGGACGGAAGAUUUUGUACUGAGUGGCGGACGGGUGAGUAACGCGUGGGAAACCUGCCCUGUUCCGGGGGAUACCAGUUGGAAACGACUGUUAAUACCGCAUAAGCGCACAGAGCUGCAUGGCUCAGUGUGAAAAACUCCGGUGGUAUAAGAUGGACCCGCGUUGGAUUAGCUAGUUGGUGGGGUAACGGCCCACCAAGGCGACGAUCCAUAGCCGGCCUGAGAGGGUGAACGGCCACAUUGGGACUGAGACACGGCCCAA
This 323-nucleotide ribosomal RNA is filed under the name uncultured bacterium. Its description in RNAcentral is "bacterial SSU rRNA". It matches the Rfam family "Bacterial small subunit ribosomal RNA", at positions 28 to 334 of the family's 1533-position model. The record is from RNAcentral.